GCCCAGGUGGUGAAAUUGGUAGACACGCUACUUUGAGGGGGUAGUGCCUUUACGGGUGUGCUGGUUCGAGUCCAGUCCUGGGCA
This 84-nucleotide transfer RNA is filed under the name Bacteroidota bacterium. Its description in RNAcentral is "tRNA-Leu". It matches the Rfam family "tRNA". Rfam says of the family: Transfer RNA (tRNA) molecules are approximately 80 nucleotides in length. Their secondary structure includes four short double-helical elements and three loops (D, anti-codon, and T loops). Further hydrogen bonds mediate the characteristic L-shaped molecular structure. tRNAs have two regions of fundamental functional importance: the anti-codon, which is responsible for specific mRNA codon recognition, and the 3' end, to which the tRNAs corresponding amino acid is attached (by aminoacyl-tRNA synthetases). tRNAs cope with the degeneracy of the genetic code in two manners: having more than one tRNA (with a specific anti-codon) for a particular amino acid; and 'wobble' base-pairing, i.e. permitting non-standard base-pairing at the 3rd anti-codon position. The record is from RNAcentral. Lineage: Bacteria; Pseudomonadati; Bacteroidota.